Molecule: non-coding RNA, 1278 nt
Organism: Xyrichtys novacula (pearly razorfish)
Lineage: Eukaryota; Metazoa; Chordata; Actinopteri; Labriformes; Labridae
Source: the annotation of a GenBank genome assembly
AGCAAAUACGUCACAUUAUGUUGUUGUUUAUAUGCAUAUAAAUUUAAAUAAUAAAUGUUUUUAGAAAUAAAGUUUUUUUAGGUUUUCAGCUGCAGGUUCAUCCACCAAGGAAUCAGCAUCAGCCACGGGACAAACGAGAAGGAAGUUCGACUACCAAAUAUGGUUCGUGGGCGGGCACGACCAUUGAUAUCAUAUGGUACGACAGCGCGUCAAAACCCACUAUGUCAUAUCCGCUGUGUCAUUGUUAAAUGUAAACAUCAGACUCGUGCUGGCAGUAAAUCUUUACCAACAAGAUGUGUGCUUCAUUAUACAUUUUUUAUUAAUCAAAUAUAAUUAUCAGUGUGGUGACAGUUUUUAUUCAGCAGUGUCUCUUUUGGUAAUUGUAUAUAACAUUUGGAACAUCAUUUGUUUUUGUUUUAAAAUAAAACAAAAAAAGAGGAGAAAAACAAUUGUAAAAUAUAACAUAACACAGCCUGAGAUGGCACAAUAUCAUUUCCUGCCAUUUUAAACAUUCUUUGAUUCCUGGGUACUUAAAAAUUAACAAUUAAAUAUAGUUAAAAUUUUAAAUUUUCUGAGCUGAAAAGGCACUGAUUACUGAAUUUGUUGUUUUUCAUGAUAUGGAUUUAUGAUGAGUAUCCAGGUUUUAAAGGUUACUGAUUUGUGGUGCGCAGGACCAGUUUUAUUUUGUUUGUUUGUUUGUUUGUUUAUUUGUUUGUUUGUUUGCUUGUUUUGUUUUGUUAAAUGUCACAUGUGUGAGGAUUUCCAUGUUAGUAAAGAUAUAAAUUUAUAUCUGUGCCUGGAAUUCUGUUAGGAGCCUUCAAUAGGUUGAAACUCCUGAAGCACGUAAGUAUCUGACAUUGCUUAUUUACCACCUCCUCCAUCUAUUUCUGUGUUUUUAGGGAGAAAUGUGUCAUUGCCCUUUACAACAGCUGAGGUCUCAGAGGAUCCAAAAUGACUGAAAGGAAGAACUGAGGAGAUCUUUCUAAAAGGGAGGGAGUCUGAACAGACCUACAAUACUACCACCACCGCUCUCCAUCUCCUGUAUGCUGACAAGGAUCACUCAUGCUUCUUCAUCUGUCAGUGGGAAUGGUUUGCAGAGCGUGUUGACCUUUCAAAAGUUUCAUUUUAAGUUUAAUAUUUAAGACAUCUGGGUGUCACUUUUUUAUUUUCUACAAAGUUAACAUGUGAUUAUGUAACUUUGAAUAAAGCUAUUUAAAAUGUAUUCAAAGAAAAAACAUUAAAUCACCUCCAGGGUUUUAUAUAUAUAUAUAUAUAUAU